CUUUACCGACGGCGCCCGACUUGCGCAGCAAACAAGCCUCCUGUCGCAAGGCAGUCAGCUGUCUUUCUUCGGUGCAACUUGCGCGUGCGAUUCUCUACUGUCACAAACCGCCGCCCGUGUUUACACCGUGACAAGAUUAAACCGUUUAACGUUGUUCUGCGUACGAUCGGUGCUGAUUAUCCGCCUCGAAAUAGAAAAAAUAGUGAGCAAGCGUCGAGCAGGUAUACGAGCGGUUUUUUCAAGUUUUUUGAAGAGUCUGAACCAGUUUUUCGAAGUUUUGAACUAGUUUUUUGAAGAGUCUGAAGGGCAACUCUAUGGACCAGGAAUCGCUGAUUAGCAUAUUAAUGCGAUGGAAAUUGCGACCUGCACCUUUUCCGCCGCACGACAAAUGCAUACUCGAGACGCCUCGGUGAAAUGCUUGUACCAGGCAUAAUAUGACAUGUAUCCUAAUGAAAAAAUUCGAGAAGACUGUUGAAAUACAUAACAAUAAACCCUGAAAGUUUCGUUUCAA
Molecule: unclassified non-coding RNA, 511 nt
Filed under: Neodiprion lecontei (redheaded pine sawfly)
Lineage: Eukaryota; Metazoa; Arthropoda; Insecta; Hymenoptera; Diprionidae
Description: carboxypeptidase N subunit 2, transcript variant X6
Source: RNAcentral